This 492-nucleotide ribosomal RNA is filed under the name uncultured bacterium. RNAcentral describes it as "partial 16S ribosomal RNA". It matches the Rfam family "Bacterial small subunit ribosomal RNA", at positions 29 to 507 of the family's 1533-position model. The record is from RNAcentral.
AGUGAACGCUGGCGGUAGGCCUAACACAUGCAAGUCGAACGGCAGCACAUGUAUAGCUUGCUCUUACGGGUGGCGAGUGGUGGACGGGUGAGGAGUGCAUCGGAAUCUAUGUGUGCGUGUGUGAGUACGUAGGGAAACUUACGCUAAUACCGCAUAUGUCGUGCGGGUGAAAGCAUGGGAUCUUCGGUGCGUUUGUUCGUGAAUGAGUGGAUGUCGGAUUAGCUAGUUGGCGGGGUAAAGGUCCACCAAGGCGACGAUCCGUAGCUCGUCUGAGAGGAUGAUCAGCCACACUGGAACUGAGACACGGUCCAGACUCCUACGGGAGCACGCAGUGGGCACACUUGGACAAUGGGCGCAAGCCUGAUCCAGCCAUACCGCGUGGGAGAAGAAGGAGUUCGGGUUGUAAAGCCCUUUUGUUGGGAAAGACAAAAAACAGGUUAAUACGACGCUGUUCUGACGGUACCCAAAGAAUAAGCACCGGCUAACUUCGUG